UACAGAGGGUGCAAGCGUUAAUCGGAAUUACUGGGCGUAAAGGGUGCGUAGGUGGUUAAAUAAGUUGGGUGUGAAAUUCCUGGGCUUAACCUGGGGACUGCGCUUGAUACUGUUUAGCUAGAGUAUUGUAGAGGAAGGUGGAAUUUCCAGUGUAGCGGUGAAAUGCGUAGAUAUUGGAAGGAGCAUCAGUGGCGAAGGCGACCUUCUGGACAAAUACUGACACUGAGGCACGAAAGCAUGGGGAGCAAACAGG
This 253-nucleotide ribosomal RNA is filed under the name uncultured bacterium. RNAcentral describes it as "partial 16S ribosomal RNA". It matches the Rfam family "Bacterial small subunit ribosomal RNA", at positions 524 to 776 of the family's 1533-position model. The record is from RNAcentral.